This 69-nucleotide transfer RNA is filed under the name Lucinella divaricata. RNAcentral's name for it is "tRNA-Thr". Lineage: Eukaryota; Metazoa; Mollusca; Bivalvia; Lucinida; Lucinidae. The record is from RNAcentral.
CUGCUGUAGUUUAAUUAAAAUAUGAGUUUUGUAAACUUAAGAUAGUUAUAACUGUUGACUUUGCGGCAG